RNAcentral lists this ribosomal RNA (468 nucleotides) under uncultured bacterium. Its description in RNAcentral is "partial 16S ribosomal RNA". It matches the Rfam family "Bacterial small subunit ribosomal RNA", at positions 28 to 507 of the family's 1533-position model. The record is from RNAcentral.
GACGAACGCUGGCGGCGUGCUUAACACAUGCAAGUCGAACGGAAAGGCCCUGCUUUUGUGGGGUGCUCGAGUGGCGAACGGGUGAGUAACACGUGAGUAACCUGCCCUUGACUUUGGGAUAACUUCAGGAAACUGGGGCUAAUACCGGAUAGGAGCUCCUGCUGCAUGGGGGGGGUUGGAAAGGUUCGGCGGUUGGGGAUGGACUCGCGGCUUAUCAGCUUGUUGGUGGGGUAGUGGCUUACCAAGGCUUUGACGGGUAGCCGGCCUGAGAGGGUGACCGGCCACAUUGGGACUGAGAUACGGCCCAGACUCCUACGGGAGGCAGCGGUGGGGAAUAUUGCACAAUGGGCGGAAGCCUGAUGCAGCAACGCCGCGUGCGGGAUGACGGCCUUCGGGUUGUAAACCGCUUUCGCCUGUGACGAAGCGUGAGUGACGGUAAUGGGUAAAGAAGCACCGGCUAACUACGUG